GCAUUCGCGGUCUAGUGGUCAGCACGCUCGAAUCGUAUUCGAGAGGUCCGUGGUUCAAGUCCCAGCGAGGGCA
This 73-nucleotide transfer RNA is filed under the name Stegodyphus mimosarum. It matches the Rfam family "tRNA". Rfam says of the family: Transfer RNA (tRNA) molecules are approximately 80 nucleotides in length. Their secondary structure includes four short double-helical elements and three loops (D, anti-codon, and T loops). The record is from Rfam by way of RNAcentral. Lineage: Eukaryota; Metazoa; Arthropoda; Arachnida; Araneae; Eresidae.